GAAAGGAGGGCUAAUACCGCAUAACAUCUCGUGCAUUUCGAUAAACGAGAUCAAAGCUUGCCUCUACUUGUAAGCUAGCGCCACCGGAGGGGCCCGCGCCCCAUUAGCUUGUUGGUGAGGUAACGGCUCGCCAAGGCGACGAUGGGUAGCCGGCCUGAGAGGGUGAUCGGCCACACUGGAACUGAGACACGGUCCAGACUCCUACGGGAGGCAGCAGUGAGGAAUUUUGCGCAAUGGGCGAAAGCCUGACGCAGCGACGCCGCGUGGAGGACGAAGGCCUUCGGGUCGUAAACUCCUGUCGAGCGGGACGAAAUCGGCACGGACGAAUAGUCCGUGUUGUUGACGGUACCGCUGGAGGAAGCCCCGGCUAACUCCGUGCCAGCAGCCGCGGUAAUACGGAGGGGGCCAGCGUUGUUCGGAAUUAUUGGGCGUAAAGGGCGCGUAGGCGGUCAAGCAAGUCGGAGGUGAAAUCCCUCGGCUCAACCGAGGAACUGCCUCCGAAACUGCUUGACUUGAGUCCCGGAGAGGGUAGCGGAAUUCCCAGUGUAGCGGUGAAAUGCGUAGAUAUUGGGAGGAACACCAGUGGC
This 587-nucleotide ribosomal RNA is filed under the name uncultured bacterium. Its description in RNAcentral is "bacterial SSU rRNA". It matches the Rfam family "Bacterial small subunit ribosomal RNA", at positions 153 to 716 of the family's 1533-position model. The record is from RNAcentral.